UACGGAGGAUGCAAGCGUUAUCCGGAAUGAUUGGGCGUAAAGCGUCCGCAGGUGGCAAUGUAAGUCUGCUGUCAAAGCGUCUGGCUCAACCAGAUAAAGGCAGUGGAAACUACAUAGCUAGAGUAAGGUAGGGGUAGAGGGAAUUCCUGGUGUAGCGGUGAAAUGCGUAGAGAUCAGGAAGAACACCGGUGGCGAAGGCGGAUCUCUGGGCCUUGCCUGACGCUGAGGCGCGAAAGCUAGGGGAGCGAACAGG
Molecule: ribosomal RNA, 253 nt
Filed under: uncultured bacterium
Lineage: Bacteria
Description: partial 16S ribosomal RNA
Rfam family: Bacterial small subunit ribosomal RNA
Source: RNAcentral